AUGAUCAGAAUCUUCCCGGAUUUCAGCGUUCAGGUGACAGCGGCAGGUGGAGGAGCCGGGGGAAUGCCAUCAGGUCACGCCAUGGGGAGAGUCCCCGGUACAACUAACGGGAACCCGCAGAACGUCCAGGGGAUCACCUCCUAUCAACAAAGCGACCCUUACUGGGAGAGGCCUGCUAAUGCCAGCUCCUGUUCUGUCUCUAGGCCCAAGACACUCCACCUUGGAGGAGGGCAACAACAUACCUCAUCGCCAUGGUAAUCCCCCCCUUACCUUCUCUGUCUUCCCUUCUUCCUUCUGGUCAGGGGCAGACCAGGCCACAGCUCAGAUGCUGUACAUACUGUUACUACUACCAGCUACCUCCCUCUCUGGUCUGGUUAGAGGGACAACAUGGUUAAGGAUGCCAGCUUGUGUAAAGGCAGGCAUGGGUCGAUAAUCCAGAGCAGAGGCCAAGGUACAGGACGGCAGGCAGGCUCAGAGACAGGCAGUGGUCAGGCGGGCAGGUACAGGGUCAGGACGGGCAAAGGUCAAAACCAGGAGGACGAGAAAAUGAGAGACUAAGGAAAAACAGGAGCUGAGACAAAACGCUGGUAGGUUUGAACAAACAAGACGAACUGGCAACAGACAAACAGAAAACACAGGUAUAAAUACACAGGGGAUAAUGAAGAAGAUGGGUGACAUCUGGAGGGGGGUGGAGACAAGCACAAAGACAGGUGAAACAGAUCAGGGCGUGACACUUUCUUAUUUUACACAGGUGCUUUUUAUGUCAUUUAGAUUUUUUAUGUCAUUUUACUUUUAUAUUAUUUCUGAUAUUGAGUUAAUUGAUCUAAGGGGAGUUAGCUAUAUUUUGUCUAGGUAACUACAGUUCAAAUUAAGGUUCCCUCUCUUCAUUUGCCAUCCAAAGACAAUACCGUGUGUAGACAGUAAUACUCUUAUUUGACCUGGCUUUAUGGCUUUGAGCGUUGAUAAAUGAUACACCUCUCAGGGGAACACUGACUGUCCCUUUAUAAAACAGGGCAAACUGCUCUGUGUUGUCAAACUGGGGAAGAUAAAAGGCUUCAUAGUGGGAAGUUGAGUUUUGACAUAUUCCUCUGAGACUACGUCUCUACGUCUUACAGCUUCAGAAGUCUUUUCAGUUCUCCCCUCUUUCAGAUCCUUUGUAGUAAAAGACCUAGGCUUACACAUUAGGAAAUAAACAUGGAGCAUAAUUCCUCUAGCUCUCUCUCUCUCCCUCCCUCACUCUGAUGUACAGCACAGGGGUGAGGGCAGGAUUACUGUCGGCCUGAAUAAAGGGGAUUUAUUGAUGUAACACUUUGAGAAAAAAGCACUUCUUAAUAGCUCAUCACAGUCUGUAUGUAUUAUGAGGCUAGUCUCAGGCCUACAACCCCUUAUGUGCUGCCUUACAAACAGGCAGACAGGCCUACACCCCCUUACGUGCUGCCUUACAAACAGGCAGACAGGCCUACACCCCAGGACAGUACACACACUACAUUCCUGUAGUCCUACACCCCAGGACAGUACAUACACUACAUUCCUGUAGGCCUGUACCCCUGGACAGUACACACACUACAUUCCUGUAGGUCUACACCCCAGGACAGUACAGACACUACAUUCAUGUAGGCCUGUACCCCUGGACAGUACACACACUACAUUCCUGUAGGCCUGUACCCCAGGACAGUACACACACUACAUUCCUGUAGUCCUACACCCCAGGACAGUACACAC
Molecule: long non-coding RNA, 1722 nt
Organism: Oncorhynchus mykiss (rainbow trout)
Lineage: Eukaryota; Metazoa; Chordata; Actinopteri; Salmoniformes; Salmonidae
Source: Ensembl